CCUACGGGUGGCAGCAGUAGGGAAUCUUUCACAAUGGGCGACAGCCUUAUGGAGCACCGCCGCGUGCAGGAUGAAGGCCUUCGGGUUGUACACUGCUUUUAUAAGCGAGAAAUAUGAUGGUAACUUAUGAAUAAGGAUCGGCUAACUACGUGCCAGCAGCCGCGGUCAUACGUAGGAUCCGAGCAUUAUCCGGAGUGACUGGGUGUAAGGAGUUGCGUAGGUGGCAUAAUAAGUAGCUAGUUCAAUCUGGUGGCUCAACCAUUCAGACUAUUAGCUAAAAUGUUAAGCUCGAGACCGUUAGGGGUAACGUGAAUUUCUAGUGUAGGAGUGAAAUCCGUAGAUAUUAGAAGGAACACCAAUAGCGUAGGCAGGUUGCUGGGACGGUUCUGACACUAAGGCACGAAAGCGUAGGGAGCAAACGGGAUUAGAUACCCUGGUAGUC
This 442-nucleotide ribosomal RNA is filed under the name uncultured bacterium. RNAcentral's name for it is "partial 16S ribosomal RNA". It matches the Rfam family "Bacterial small subunit ribosomal RNA", at positions 338 to 795 of the family's 1533-position model. The record is from RNAcentral.